RNAcentral lists this ribosomal RNA (479 nucleotides) under uncultured bacterium. Its description in RNAcentral is "bacterial SSU rRNA". It matches the Rfam family "Bacterial small subunit ribosomal RNA", at positions 32 to 524 of the family's 1533-position model. The record is from RNAcentral.
AAUCAACGCUGGCGGCGUGCCUAACACAUGCAAGUCGAACGAGAAAGUGGAGCAAUCCAUGAGUAAAGUGGCGACCGGGUGAGUAACACGUGACUAACCUACCUUCGAGUGGGGGAUAACCUCGGGAAACCGGGGCUAAUACCGCAUAACAUCUUUGGAGUGGAAAUUUCGGAGAUCAAAGGAGCAAUUCGCUGGAAGAGGGGGUCGCGGCUGAUUAGCUAGUUGGCGGGGUAACGGCCCACCAAGGCUAGAUCGGUAGCCGGCCUGAGAGGGCGCACGGCCACACUGGAACUGAAACACGGUCCAGACUCCUACGGGAGGCAGCAGUGGGGAAUUUUGCGCAAUGGGGGAAACCCUGACGCAGCAACGCCGCGUGGAGGAUGAAGUCCCUUGGGACGUAAACUCCUUUCGACCCGGACGAUAAUGACGGUACGGGUGGAAGAAGCCCCGGCUAACUUCGUGCCAGCCGCCGCCGUAAC